This 18-nucleotide small nuclear RNA is filed under the name Arabidopsis thaliana (thale cress). RNAcentral's name for it is "snRNA_14846". Lineage: Eukaryota; Viridiplantae; Streptophyta; Magnoliopsida; Brassicales; Brassicaceae. The record is from RNAcentral.
CAUAUACUCGAAUACCUA